UGCAACCCGACUACAUGAAGCUGGAAUCGCUAGUAAUCGCGAAUCAGAAUGUCGCGGUGAAUACGUUCCCGGGUCUUGUACACACCGCCCGUCACACCAUGGGAGUCGGAAAUGCCCGAAGUCAGUGACCCAACCACAACGUGAACUUCGUUCGCGUGGAGGGAGCUGCCGAAGGUGGAGCCGGUAACUGGGGUGAAGUCGUAACAAGGUACC
This 213-nucleotide ribosomal RNA is filed under the name uncultured bacterium. RNAcentral's name for it is "partial 16S ribosomal RNA". It matches the Rfam family "Bacterial small subunit ribosomal RNA", at positions 1306 to 1500 of the family's 1533-position model. The record is from RNAcentral.